Molecule: ribosomal RNA, 420 nt
Filed under: uncultured eukaryote
Lineage: Eukaryota
Description: SSU rRNA
Rfam family: Eukaryotic small subunit ribosomal RNA
Source: RNAcentral
CAAUAGCGUAUAUUAAAGUUGUUGCAGUUAAAAAGCUCGUAGUUGGAUUUCGGAACCGGCCGAUUGGUCCGUCCUCUGGAUCGUGUACUGAUCGGUCUGUUCUUCUUCGCGAAGACCGCGUGUGCCCUUAACUGGGUGGGCGCGGGAUUCGCGACGUUUACUUUGAAAAAAUUAGAGUGUUCAAAGCAGGCAGUCGCUUGAAUAUCUCAGCAUGGAAUAAUAGAAUAGGACUUUGGUCUUAUUUUGUUGGUUUCCGAGACCGAAGUAAUGAUUAAUAGGGACAGUUGGGGGCAUUCAUAUUCCAAUGUCAGAGGUGAAAUUCUUGGAUUAUCGGAAGAUGAACUUCUGCGAAAGCAUCUGCCAAGGAUGUUUUCAUUGAUCAAGAACGAAAGUUAGGGAUCGAAGACGAUCAGAUACCGU